UACGUAGGGUGCAAGCGUUAAUCGGAAUUACUGGGCGUAAAGGGCUCGUAGGUGGCCAACUAAGUCAGACGUGAAAUCCCUCGGCUUAACCGGGGAACUGCGUCUGAUACUGGAUGGCUGGAGUAUGGGAGAGGAAUGCGGAAUUCCAGGUGUAGCGGUGAAAUGCGUAGAUAUCUGGAGGAACACCGGUGGCGAAGGCGGCAUUCUGGACCAUUACUGACGCUGAGGAGCGAAAGCCAGGGGAGCAAAGCGGG
This 254-nucleotide ribosomal RNA is filed under the name uncultured bacterium. Its description in RNAcentral is "partial 16S ribosomal RNA". It matches the Rfam family "Bacterial small subunit ribosomal RNA", at positions 524 to 777 of the family's 1533-position model. The record is from RNAcentral.